CCUACGUGUGGCUGCAGUGAGGAAUAUUGGUCAAUGGCCGAGAGGCUGAACCAGCCAAGUCGCGUGAGGGAAGACGGCCCUACGGGUUGUAAACCUCUUUUGUCGGGGAGCAAAGCGAACCACGUGUGGUUCAUUGAGAGUACCCGAAGAAAAAGCAUCGGCUAACUCCGUGCCAGCAGCCGCGGUAAUACGGAGGAUGCGAGCGUUAUCCGGAUUUAUUGGGUUUAAAGGGUGCGCAGGCGGAGGUGCAAGUCAGCGGUCAAAUUGCGGGGCUCAACCCCGGGGCUGCAUUGGGAACUGCCAGGCUGGAGUGCCGGAGAGGCAGGCGGAAUUCCUAGUGUAGCGGUGAAAUGCGUAGAUAUUAGGAGGAACACCAGUGGCGAAGGCGGCCUGCUGGACGGUGACUGACGCUGAGGCUCGAAAGCGUGGGGAGCAAACAGGAUUAGAUACCCCAGUAGUC
This 460-nucleotide ribosomal RNA is filed under the name uncultured bacterium. Its description in RNAcentral is "partial 16S ribosomal RNA". It matches the Rfam family "Bacterial small subunit ribosomal RNA", at positions 338 to 795 of the family's 1533-position model. The record is from RNAcentral.